UUGCAGUUGCAGGGGAGGUAGUAGCGAGCUAGCUCUCUGUUUUGUUUGAACGCCAAUAGAAGUGAUGUUACUCAACAUCGCUUAGAGCGCCUUUAAACUCAACCAUAUUUAUG
This is a long non-coding RNA of Alosa sapidissima (American shad), 113 nucleotides long. RefSeq lists it as uncharacterized. The transcript has 3 exons. NCBI's taxonomy places the organism in Eukaryota, Metazoa, Chordata, Actinopteri, Clupeiformes, Clupeidae. The record is from RefSeq and is a predicted model, not a curated record.